AGCGAACGCUGGCGGCAGGCUUAACACAUGCAAGUCGAGCGGGCAUCCUUGUGGUGUCAGCGGCAGACGGGUGAGUAACGCGUGGGAACGUGCCCUUCGGUUCGGAAUAACUCAGGGAAACUUGAGCUAAUACCGGAUACGUGCGAGAGCAGAAAGGUUUAUCUGCCGAAGGAUCGGCCCGCGUCUGAUUAGCUAGUUGGUGAGGUUACGGCUCACCAAGGCGACGAUCAGUAGCUGGUCUGAGAGGAUGAUCAGCCACACUGGGACUGAGACACGGCCCAGACUCCUACGGGAGGCAGCAGUGGGGAAUAUUGGACAAUGGGGGCAACACUGAUCCAGCCAUGCCGCGUGAGUGAUGACGGCCUUAGGGUUGUAAAGCUCUUUUCUCCGGGACGAUAAUGACGGUACCGGAGGAAUAAGCCCCGGCUAACUUCGUG
Molecule: ribosomal RNA, 437 nt
Filed under: uncultured bacterium
Lineage: Bacteria
Description: partial 16S ribosomal RNA
Rfam family: Bacterial small subunit ribosomal RNA
Source: RNAcentral